UACGGAGGGUGCAAGCGUUAUCCGGAUUUACUGGGUUUAAAGGGUGCGCAGGCGGAUAUGUAAGUCAGUGGUGAAAUCUCUAGGCUUAACCUGGAAAUUGCCGUUGAUACUAUAUAUCUUGAAUGCUGUGGAGGUAAGCGGAAUAUGUCAUGUAGCGGUGAAAUGCUUAGAUAUGACAUAGAACACCUAUUGCGAAGGCAGCUUACUACGCAGAUAUUGACGCUCAUGCACGAAAGCGUGGGGA
RNAcentral lists this ribosomal RNA (244 nucleotides) under uncultured bacterium. RNAcentral describes it as "partial 16S ribosomal RNA". It matches the Rfam family "Bacterial small subunit ribosomal RNA", at positions 524 to 767 of the family's 1533-position model. The record is from RNAcentral.